Molecule: long non-coding RNA, 1077 nt
Organism: Lycium barbarum (goji berry)
Lineage: Eukaryota; Viridiplantae; Streptophyta; Magnoliopsida; Solanales; Solanaceae
Exons: 3
Source: RefSeq, a predicted model, not a curated record
AAGAAGAGCAAAUUAAAAGGGCCAUACGGCCAAGCUCUUGAAAAAUUGACCCUUUGAAAUCUUUCUCCAAAAAUUAUUUUCUUGUGGUAUUUCUACUAAUUCAAGGGUCCUUUACAACUUGGUGUAAUUAUUUUGGAAGAAAGAACACUUGUUUCUUCAAGUUGACAAUUUGGUCAAGUGAAGAAGAUUGUAGAAAAAGAUUUUGGCGAACUUGAAACUUGAUUUUGGAGACGUGUAUGAAGCGGAAAAGGUCAGCAGGUAGACGGACCUGAUUUCUAGAAGUUCUACCAGCAGUGUUGGCAGUGCUCCAGUCGUCCCGGAGCCCCAGAUUCUCGGUACUAUUUUGUGUAUAUAUAUAUUCGGGCACGGCAGUACCCGGCCCUUUCUAUGUAUAAGUGUACUAUGUCUAGAGGCUCGUAGACAGAUGUGUAUAGUCAGUCGAGUACAAUUAGAUAUACGAUGUUUUGGCAUGUUGAUAUUGUUGUAUAAAGUGUUAACGAGAUUUACUAGUCUAUGUUCAGAACGACGCUGCUAAUGUUAAUGUUCAGAAAGAAGAAAAAAAAUGGCUCUGGUUACACGACUUGCUAAGAGGUAAAAGUAAUAUGACAGAUAAGGAGUGCUCGGUACAAGUAUCGGGUACUCGUCACGGCCCCUAGUCGGGUCGUGACAGUUUCAUGCCCGCAGGUACGGACGUUCGGUUGGGUGACCCUCCAGUAUAGGAUAUCUAUAUUUUGCCAUUCGGACUACUCCUUUUGAUCCGGAGCUCAUAUUUUGGAACAUAUCUUCUGUUAUCCACAUUCUGUAUAUAUGACUAUUUGGGUACGGCGGGGCCCUGUCCCGUCAUAUGUUCUGUUAUUUUCUGUAGAGGCCUGUAGUCAUAUAUGUGGGUCAUGGGUCAUGUCUUUUCGUUUGUGAUUAUGAUCUGCGUCUUAAUGCGGCCCUGUUUGUUAUUAUGGCCAAAACGACCCAUUUGUCUGUAUAUGUGAAUAUAUCUGGCGAUGUGUAUUCCGCCAAUCUAUUGGAUUUGGAUAUGAUGUUUCUGUACGGGCGACCGCUUAAGAUGAUAUUUGUUUUCAG